RNAcentral lists this unclassified non-coding RNA (277 nucleotides) under sea anemone metagenome. RNAcentral's name for it is "partial contains small subunit ribosomal RNA and internal transcribed spacer 1". The stretch from base 1 to 158 matches the Rfam family "Eukaryotic small subunit ribosomal RNA", at positions 1678 to 1831 of the family's 1831-position model. The record is from RNAcentral.
GCUACUACCGCUUGAAUGGUUUAGUGAGGACUCCUGAUUGGCGCCGCCGCCCCGGCAACGGAGCAGCGGACUGCCGAAAAGUUGUUCAAACUUGAUCAUUUAGAGGAAGUAAAAGUCGUAACAAGGUUUCCGUAGGUGAACCUGCAGAAGGAUCAAGAUCGGAAGGGCGGCGGGUAGGGAAAGAGGGUAGAUCGCGGUGGUCGCCGUAUAAUUAAAAAAAAAAAAAACAGCAGAAUAACAUGACACAUAGCAGCAAUUGAGAGACACGAAUCUAUAU